CCUACGGGAGGCAGCAGUGGGGGAUAUUGCACAAUGGAGGGAACCCUGAUGCAGCGACGCCGCGUGGGUGAAGGCGCGUUUCUGCGCGUAAAGCUCUAUCUGCAGGGAAGAAGGCGGACGGUACCUUACUAAUAUGCCACGGCUAACUACGUACCAGCAGCCGCGGUAAUACGGAGGGGGCAAGCGUUAUCCGGAUUUACUGGGUGUAAAGGGGGCGCAGACGGCAGCGCAAGCCAGGAGUGAAAGCCCGGGGCACAACCCCGGAACUGCUCUUGGAACUGCGCGGCUGGAGUGCAGGAGCGGCAGGCGGAAUUCCUGGUGUAGCGGUGAAAUGCGUAGAUAUCA
This 345-nucleotide ribosomal RNA is filed under the name uncultured bacterium. RNAcentral describes it as "partial 16S ribosomal RNA". It matches the Rfam family "Bacterial small subunit ribosomal RNA", at positions 338 to 699 of the family's 1533-position model. The record is from RNAcentral.